GACGAACGCUGGCGGCGUGCUUAACACAUGCAAGUCGAACGGAAAGGCCCUGCGUUUGUUGGGUGCUCGAGUGGCGAACGGGUGAGUAACACGUGAGUAACCUGCCCUUGACUUUGGGAUAACUUCAGGAAACUGGGGCUAAUACCGGAUAGGAGCUCCUGCUGCAUGGUGUGGGUUGGAAAGUUUCGGCGGUUGGGGAUGGACUCGCGGCUUAUCAGCUUGUUGGUGGGGUAGUGGCUUACCAAGGCUUUGACGGGUAGCCCGCCUGAGAGGGUGAACGGCCACCUUGGGACUGAGGUAGGGACCAGACUCCUACGGGAGGCAGCAGUGGGGAAUAUUGCACAAUGGGCGGAAGCCUGAUGCAGCAACGCCGCGUGCGGGAUGACGGCCUUCGGGUUGUAAACCGCUUUCGCAUGUGACGAAGCGUGAGUGACGGUAAUGGGUAAAGAAGCACCGGCUAACUACGUG
Molecule: ribosomal RNA, 468 nt
Filed under: uncultured bacterium
Lineage: Bacteria
Description: partial 16S ribosomal RNA
Rfam family: Bacterial small subunit ribosomal RNA
Source: RNAcentral